GGAAGAGAACAGAUUAUAUUGGGCGAAUUUAACUGGAUUUCGGAUUACGAAGUUGUUUUCGGAGCAAGAAAUGGUCAACAAUUAAAGCCUGCUGUUCCAAAGGCUGGAUGACAAAGUCGCAAAAGAAAUGAAGUGUGGCUAAUUACCGCCUGACUACUCUUCCUAUCUCAACUUAAAUUGUUACCAGUCUGCCAUCAUAAUUGGGGCCACAUUACAGCAACAGAUUCACCAGACGUGAAGGAAAUCAAAGAGGAAGCAGUCAUAAUCUCUCUAAGACAGUCAGUUGUCAGAGGACAU
Mizuhopecten yessoensis (Yesso scallop) is the source of this 297-nucleotide long non-coding RNA. RefSeq lists it as uncharacterized. Lineage: Eukaryota; Metazoa; Mollusca; Bivalvia; Pectinida; Pectinidae. The transcript is spliced from 2 exons. The record is from RefSeq and is a predicted model, not a curated record.